UUCACAAUUCGUAACUAGCUGUCAGAGUUACUUGAAGACAUAAUGUAUUUUUUUUCUUGAGCAAUUACUUGAGACCUGGAUACCAACCUUAUAACCCUGACAGACGAGCAUAAUUAAUUGGCCUUCAGCAACACAAAUGCGAAUUGAAAUUUUAUGGUGACAGACGGCAGAUUUGUGCAUUUAGACAGCUGAUUGUGAAAUUUGUUUCUUUAUUAAAAAAAGUGAAAUAACAACGGAUAAGAGAAGAUUAUUAAUGGCAAUUUGUUAUUCUUAGAAGAUCAAAAAGAAUAUAUCGAAAAAAUCGGUUUAUUACUAAAUGAGUUAAAAGAAAAUAGAGUGAAAGUAAAAGCAAUUCUUGAAUCUAACGCAAGCUUAAGAUUACAAUCGCUCAGCCACACAUAUGAAAUGUUUGGAAAGUCUACCGAAGUGGUAAAUUUUGGGAGCACGAUAUCCCUGCUAUAGACCAAGCAAGGUUCAAGGAAAACUUUCUCGUAGAUAGAAGCGCUUUCAAAAAAUUAUGCGAAAAAGUAUGUUAAUAUUAUAAUUAGAGCAUGUUGAAUUUUGCACAAUUUUCUAAAGAUUGAGAACGAUGAAGUUUCCUCAGCUUGGAUUCAAGACGCAGCAGAAGAUGCAACAAGGCAUCAACUCAAUCAUACAACAACAUUAGGAGAAAAUGAUUCAACAGUGACAGCAAUUAGGAAUGCCAUCGCAAUGAGUUUCUAAAACGAUGCACCCGCUGAUGAGGUCGAGCUACCUAAUGGCGACAUUAAGAGUUCGUCAACGUAAUUACUGGCGUACACACCGGUUCAGGCGACAUUGGUUCUGGCUCUGGCGAUAUUGGUUCUGGUGAUCCUAUAGCCAUAGAUGACUGGAACGAAAGUAAUGUUGAAUUCGAUAUGUUUUAAGAAAAAAUUAUUGUAAUAAUAAACGUGUAAAACUCAGCUUACCACAGUAAA
Long non-coding RNA from Bactrocera latifrons, 956 nucleotides. RefSeq lists it as uncharacterized. The transcript is spliced from 3 exons. Lineage: Eukaryota; Metazoa; Arthropoda; Insecta; Diptera; Tephritidae. The record is from RefSeq and is a predicted model, not a curated record.